ACCCUACUGUCCUUGAUGGCAACAGCAGAUGCACUCCACUUGACUUGUUGGAUACAGAAGAUGCACUCCACUUGACUUCGUGGAUACAGAAGAUGCACUCCACUGGACUUGGUGGAAACCGCAGAUGCACUCCACUUGACUUCGUGGAUACAGAAGAUGCACUCCACUUGACUUGUUGGAUACAGAAGAUGCACUCCACUGGACUUGAUGGAUACAGAAGAUGGGCCCAACAGGACAUAGUGGAUACAACUGGAGGAGACUUGCCUGAUGAUGUUGACCUUCCAAACAAGACAUUUCAAAGGAGAUUAUUGACACUGAUCAGCUCUACUGGUCAGAGACAAGAAAGCUUGUUAUAGUAAACAAGGACAUGGCAUGGUGGAAACAGCUGGAGGAGACAGGGCCAAUGGAUGCUAAUCUUCCAAGAUGUGUAAACAACAGAUAUCCUCAACAAGACGUGUUACAGCAGAUGCAUCCAACUGGACAUUGAUAGAAACAACUGGAUGAUACAUAGCCAGUACAUGCUGAUCUUCCAAGAUGUGGAAACAGCAAAUGCACCCAACAGUACAUGAUGGAAACAGUAGAUGAACCCAAAAGGACCUGACAGAAACAAUUGGAGGAUGAAUAGCCAAAGGAUGCUGAUCUGACAUUUAUCAGCUGCAGCCAACACAACUGGAAUAGACAAGCUUGAUGAACCUCUUUUAAGAUGGGAAAACAGCAAAGACUUCAAAAGGGACUUAAUGAAAUAAAUCCUGAGGAGGCAAAGCCAUUAUGAAUCUUUAGGCAAACUUGAUGGACAAUGAUUUUCCAAUAUGUGAAAACACCAGCUACACCCAAAAGGAAUUGGUGGAAAGAUGAGAAAACAACAAAUACUUUCUAAAAGGACUUGGUGAAAUAAAUCUUGAGGAGGCAAGGCCAUUAUUAAUAUUUUGGCAAACUUGAUGGACAAUGAUUUUCCAAUAUGUGAAAACACCAGCUACAUCCAAAAGGAAUUGGUGGAAAGAUGAGAAAACAACAAAUACCGUACUUUCUUAAAGGACUUGGUGAAAUAAAUCUUGAGGAGGCAAGGCCAUUAUUAAUAUUGUGGCAAACUUGAUGGACAAUGAUAAUCCAAUAUGUGAAAACACCAGCUACACCCAAAAGGAAUUGGUGGAAAGAUGAGAAAACAACAAAUACUUUCUAAAAGGACUUAGUGAAAUUAAUCUUGAGGAGGCAAGGCCAUUAUUAAUAUUGCGGCAAGCUUGAUGGACAAUGAUAAUCCAAUAUGUGAAAACACUAGCUACAUCCAAAAGGAAUUGGUAGAAAGAUGGGAAAACAGCAAAUACUUCUAAAAAGACUUAAUGAAAUAAAUCUUGAGGAGGCAAGGCCAUUAUGAAUCUUUAGGCAAACUUGAUGGACAAUGAUUUUCCAAUAUGUGAAAACACUAGAUACACCCAAAAGGAAUUGGUGGAGAGAUGAAAAAACAACAAAUACUUUUCAAAAGGACUUGGUGAAAUAAAUCUAAAGGAGGCAAGGCCAUUAUUAAUAUUGUGGCAAACUUGAUGGACAAUGAUAAUCCAAUAUGUGAAAACACCAGCUACACCCAAAAGAAAUGGGUGGAAACAUUAUAAACACAGACAAGCUUGAUGGACAAUGAUUUUCAAAAUGUGGAAACCACAAGAUAUCCCCAACAAGACUUGGUGGAAACACCCGGAGGACAAAAUUUAUGCCUGAUGGAUGUUGACUUUUCCACCAAGACAUACCACAGUGGAUAGCUGAUACUGAUCAGAAAAUCAAAGGAACUUUUAGAAGGAACAUCCUUGUCAUGAGAUCAUUAUGUGUGGAUGAAGAAGCAGGAAUAAAUGAUUAAUCCACACCUUCAAAGCACUGAUGUAAAUCCAUUUUAGUAACAAUGUUUUUUUCAAAGACUAUUUUAAAAAUAUAAAUUUUUGUAAAGGGUGUCCGAAUUAUGUCAGGGUAUGGGGUCGCCCAUUCGGACACGUGGGUUCUCUACGGGUACUCCGUCUUCCUCCCACACUGACCCCCACUUUUCUCUUUCUUCUUCAUU
Molecule: long non-coding RNA, 2044 nt
Organism: Saccostrea cuccullata (small rock oyster)
Lineage: Eukaryota; Metazoa; Mollusca; Bivalvia; Ostreida; Ostreidae
Exons: 4
Source: RefSeq, a predicted model, not a curated record